RNAcentral lists this ribosomal RNA (376 nucleotides) under uncultured bacterium. RNAcentral's name for it is "bacterial SSU rRNA". It matches the Rfam family "Bacterial small subunit ribosomal RNA", at positions 524 to 898 of the family's 1533-position model. The record is from RNAcentral.
UACGUAGGUGGCGAGCGUUGUCCGGAAUUACUGGGUGUAAAGGGCGUGUAGGCGGGAAUGCAAGUCAGAUGUGAAAUACCGAGGCUUAACUUCGGGGCUGCAUCUGAAACUGUGUUUCUUGAGUGUCGGAGAGGAAAGUGGAAUUCCUAGUGUAGCGGUGAAAUGCGUAGAGAUUAGGAGGAACACCAGUGGCGAAGGCGACUUUCUGGACGAUAACUGACGCUGAGGCGCGAAAGCGUGGGGAGCAAACAGGAUUAGAUACCCUGGUAGUCCACGCCGUAAACGAUGGAUACUAGGUGUAGGGGGUAUCGACCCCCUCUGUGCCGCAGUUAACACAAUAAGUAUCCCACCUGGGGAGUACGGCCGCAAGGUUGAA